GACGAACGCUGGCGGCGUGCCUAAUACAUGCAAGUUGAGCGCUGAAGGUUGGUACUUGUACCGACUGGAUGAGCAGCGAACGGGUGAGUAACGCGUGGGUAAUCUGCCUUUGAGCGGGGGACAACAUUUGGAAACGAAUGCUAAUACCGCAUAAAAACUUUAAACACAAGUUUUAAGUUUGAAAGAUGCAAUUGCAUCACUCAAAGAUGAUCCCGCGUUGUAUUAGCUAGUUGGUGAGGUAAAGGCUCACCAAGGCGAUGAUACAUAGCCGACCUGAGAGGGUGAUCGGCCACAUUGGGACUGAGACACGGCCCAAACUCCUACGGGAGGCAGCAGUAGGGAAUCUUCGGCAAUGGACGAAAGUCUGAACGAGCAACGCCGCGUGAGUGAAGAAGGUUUUCGGAUCGUAAAACUCUGUUGGUAGAGAAGAACGUUGGUGAGAGUGGAAAGCUCAUCAAGUGACGGUAACUACCCAGAAAGGGACGGCUAACUACGUG
This 497-nucleotide ribosomal RNA is filed under the name uncultured bacterium. Its description in RNAcentral is "partial 16S ribosomal RNA". It matches the Rfam family "Bacterial small subunit ribosomal RNA", at positions 28 to 507 of the family's 1533-position model. The record is from RNAcentral.